This 613-nucleotide ribosomal RNA is filed under the name Trichoderma harzianum. Its description in RNAcentral is "partial 18S ribosomal RNA". The stretch from base 260 to 413 matches the Rfam family "5.8S ribosomal RNA". Lineage: Eukaryota; Fungi; Ascomycota; Sordariomycetes; Hypocreales; Hypocreaceae. The record is from RNAcentral.
GUGUAGUAAAAAAAUCGUAACAAGGUCUCCGUUGGUGAACCAGCGGAGGGAUCAUUACCGAGUUUACAACUCCCAAACCCAAUGUGAACGUUACCAAACUGUUGCCUCGGCGGGAUCUCUGCCCCGGGUGCGUCGCAGCCCCGGACCAAGGCGCCCGCCGGAGGACCAACCUAAAACUCUUAUUGUAUACCCCCUCGCGGGUUUUUUUAUAAUCUGAGCCUUCUCGGCGCCUCUCGUAGGCGUUUCGAAAAUGAAUCAAAACUUUCAACAACGGAUCUCUUGGUUCUGGCAUCGAUGAAGAACGCAGCGAAAUGCGAUAAGUAAUGUGAAUUGCAGAAUUCAGUGAAUCAUCGAAUCUUUGAACGCACAUUGCGCCCGCCAGUAUUCUGGCGGGCAUGCCUGUCCGAGCGUCAUUUCAACCCUCGAACCCCUCCGGGGGGUCGGCGUUGGGGAUCGGCCCUCCCUUAGCGGGUGGCCGUCUCCGAAAUACAGUGGCGGUCUCGCCGCAGCCUCUCCUGCGCAGUAGUUUGCACACUCGCAUCGGGAGCGCGGCGCGUCCACAGCCGUUAAACACCCAACUUCUGAAAUGUGACCUCGGAUCAGGAGGAAUGCA